This is a long non-coding RNA of Hibiscus syriacus, 352 nucleotides long. RefSeq lists it as uncharacterized. The record is from RefSeq and is a predicted model, not a curated record. Lineage: Eukaryota; Viridiplantae; Streptophyta; Magnoliopsida; Malvales; Malvaceae. The transcript is spliced from 3 exons.
AUGAAUCUUCUAAGGGAAUCAAGCAAGAGCAUCCAAUUAUAAGCUUUUCAUGUUUUGAAGGUGUUGUGUUAAAUUUCCUUUCCGCUUGGAUCACUUAGAUAGUAAUUUGAAACAUGAAAUGGCUGCAAAUCGGAACAAGCCUCCAGAUAUUGCUAGCUUACUGGUUGCAAAUAAAAGCAAGCUUUUACGUUUGUUUGCUGAUUUCAAGCCUGAUAAAGCGGACGAACAGUUUCAGGCAUACAAGGCUCAAGUUGUGAAGGAAAUCGCUGCCCUUGAGCUUUAACGCCGGCCCGGGCAUAGUGAGCUCUAAUACAUUGUAUUCGUGUUAGUUUUAGUUUUAAUGUUACUAAAA